AACAAUGUGCUUGGAUUAUCAGUUGGGAGGCCAAAAUAUUCUUGAAAGGUGUUCAAGAACUCUUGGAAAACAGAGCUGCAUAGGCAAAUGAAAACGUGGAAAUGUUGGAAUAAUGGAAAAAUAGAGCUCGUGAUGAAAAAAAUGUGCAACUAAGGAGUAAGGAGUAAGGACGAUGGUUGUUACAGUGUUUGGGAAGGCUUAGCAUCACCAAGCUUUUACUUCGGAUUUAUAUGUAUUCUAUCGUCUCUUUGUAAAACUUAAGUUGAGUCAUUGUAGGAUUUGCUGGAACAAAGGUACGUUCUCGUUAAUUCUUCAAAUGGACGUACUGUUUGAUUUCAACGUCUUGUGUGCAUCAUAAUUACAAUAAAAGCAUUCAGGAAGAGACA
This is a non-coding RNA of Camelina sativa (false flax), 386 nucleotides long. NCBI's taxonomy places the organism in Eukaryota, Viridiplantae, Streptophyta, Magnoliopsida, Brassicales, Brassicaceae. The record is from RefSeq and is a predicted model, not a curated record.